GACGAACGCUGGCGGCCCGUUUAACACAUGCAAGUCGAACGAGCGAGAGAGAGCUUGCUUUCUCGAGCGAGUGGCGAACGGGUGAGUAACGCGUGAGGAACCUGCCUCAAAGAGGGGGACAACAGUUGGAAACGACUGCUAAUACCGCAUAAGCCCACGACCCGGCAUCGGGUUGAGGGAAAAGGAGCAAUCCGCUUUGAGAUGGCCUCGCGUCCGAUUAGCUAGUUGGUGAGGUAACGGCCCACCAAGGCGACGAUCGGUAGCCGGACUGAGAGGUUGAACGGCCACAUUGGGACUGAGACACGGCCCAGACUCCUACGGGAGGCAGCAGUGGGGAAUAUUGCACAAUGGGGGAAACCCUGAUGCAGCGACGCCGCGUGGAGGAAGAAGGUCUUCGGAUUGUAAACUCCUGUUGUUGAGGAAGAUAAUGACGGUACUCAACAAGGAAGUGACGGCUAACUACGUGCCAGCAGCCGCGGUAAAACGUAGGUCACAAGCGUUGUCCGGAAUUACUGGGUGUAAAGGGAGCGCAGGCGGGAAGACAAGUUGGAAGUGAAAUCUAUGGGCUCAACCCAUAAACUGCUUUCAAAACUGUUUUUCUUGAGUAGUGCAGAGGUAGGCGGAAUUCCCGGUGUAGCGGUGGAAUGCGUAGAUAUCGGGAGGAACACCAGUGGCGAAGGCGGCCUACUGGGCACCAACUGACGCUGAGGCUCGAAAGUGUGNGUAGCAAACAGG
Molecule: ribosomal RNA, 735 nt
Filed under: uncultured bacterium
Lineage: Bacteria
Description: bacterial SSU rRNA
Rfam family: Bacterial small subunit ribosomal RNA
Source: RNAcentral